GGAAGCGUGCCCGAGCAUCAGGGGCUACCUUGAUAGAGUAGCUACAGGACAUAAAUCCUCACUUCCC
Molecule: transfer RNA, 67 nt
Filed under: Pareas formosensis (Formosa slug snake)
Lineage: Eukaryota; Metazoa; Chordata; Lepidosauria; Squamata; Pareidae
Description: tRNA-Ile
Source: RNAcentral